This 311-nucleotide long non-coding RNA is filed under the name Prunus persica (peach). Its description in RNAcentral is "long non-coding RNA (PPER_LNC007241)". Lineage: Eukaryota; Viridiplantae; Streptophyta; Magnoliopsida; Rosales; Rosaceae. The record is from RNAcentral.
UGGUGGAAGCCUUGCUGGUUGUCGUCGUGAUAGGCGACGACUGGCAGUGAGCGGCAGACGUGGUGGAGCAGGUGUGUGCAUGUGGACCAGCUACUCCCUAUCGUCGCAGGUCUAGGCUGGAGCGUGCUUGGCCUAAUGCGUUGCCAGCCGCGUUAGUUGAGCGAGUAUCGAAAGAAAGUCGGUGGUCUGUCCCCUGCCCAAGAUGUUGAGAGAUGGAAGUAGAAUGGUCUAGACUCUGAUGAUCUGCCGGCUGGGCAGGAGGAGUGUUCUGCCGAAACCCCCUAACAAAGGAAGGUUGUUGUGAAGUCGUC